AACGAACGCUGGCGGCAGGCUUAGCACAUGCAAAUCGAACGCCCGUAGCAAUACGGGAGUGGCGGACGGGUGAGUAACGCGUGGGAACGUACCCUGAGGUACGGAAUAACCGAGGGAAACUUCGGCUAAUACCGUAUGAGCCCCGCAAGGGGGAAAGAUUUAUCGCCUUGGGAGCGGCCCGCGUCGGAUUAGCUAGUUGGUGGGGUAACGGCCUACCAAGGCUUCGAUCCGUAGCUGGUCUGAGAGGACGAUCAGCCACACUGGGACUGAGACACGGCCCAGACUCCUACGGGAGGCAGCAGUGGGGAAUCUUGCGCAAUGGGGGCAACCCUGACGCAGCCAUGCCGCGUGAACGAUGAAGGCCUUAGGGUUGUAAAGUUCUUUUACCCGUGACGAUGAUGACGGUAACGGGGGAUAAGCUCCGGCUAACUUCGUG
Molecule: ribosomal RNA, 436 nt
Filed under: uncultured bacterium
Lineage: Bacteria
Description: bacterial SSU rRNA
Rfam family: Bacterial small subunit ribosomal RNA
Source: RNAcentral